This 449-nucleotide ribosomal RNA is filed under the name uncultured bacterium. RNAcentral's name for it is "bacterial SSU rRNA". It matches the Rfam family "Bacterial small subunit ribosomal RNA", at positions 355 to 796 of the family's 1533-position model. The record is from RNAcentral.
UGGGGAAUCUUGCGCAAUGCGCGAAAGCGUGACGCAGCAACGCCGCGUGGGGGAAGACGGCCUUCGGGUUGUAAACCCCUUUCAGUUGGGACGAAGCUUCGCCGGUUAAUAGCCGGCUGGAGUGACGGUACCUUCAGAAGAAGCCCCGGCUAACUACGUGCCAGCAGCCGCGGUAAUACGUAGGGGGCAAGCGUUGUCCGGAUUUAUUGGGCGUAAAGCGCGUGUAGGCGGCUUGGUAAGUCUGCUGUGAAAGUCCAGGGCUCAACCCUGGAAUGCCGGUGGAUACUGUCAAGCUAGAGUCCGGAAGAGGCGAGUGGAAUUCCUGGUGUAGCGGUGGAAUGCGCAGAUAUCAGGAGGAACACCAAUGGCGAAGGCAGCUCGCUGGGACGGUACUGACGCUGAGACGCGAAAGCGUGGGGAGCAAACAGGAUUAGAUACCCCCGUAGUCC